AACGAACGCUGGCGGCAUGCCUAACACAUGCAAGUCGAACGAGACCUUCGGGUCUAGUGUCGCACGGGUGCGUAACGCGUGGGAACCUGCCCUUAGGUUCGGCAUAACUCCCCGAAAGGGGAGCUAAUACCGGAUAAUGUCUUCGGACCAAAGAUUUAUCGCCUUUGGAUGGGCCCGCGUUGGAUUAGCUAGUUGGUAGGGUAAAAGCCUACCAAGGCGACGAUCCAUAGCUGGUCUGAGAGGAUGAUCAGCCACACUGGGACUGAGACACGGCCCAGACUCCUAGGGGAGGCAGCAGUGGGGAAUAUUGGACAAUGGGCGACAGCAUGAUCCAGCAAUGCCGCGUGAGUGAUGAAGGCCUUAGGGUUGUAAAGCUCUUUUACCCGGGAUGAUAAUGACAGUACCGGGAGAAUAAGCACCGGCUAACUCCGUG
RNAcentral lists this ribosomal RNA (433 nucleotides) under uncultured bacterium. RNAcentral describes it as "partial 16S ribosomal RNA". It matches the Rfam family "Bacterial small subunit ribosomal RNA", at positions 29 to 507 of the family's 1533-position model. The record is from RNAcentral.